AAACAUAUUCUGGAGGUUUUCAUUCAGAGCGUCUUGUUUGUCCAUCCUUGCCCGGAGCUCACUCUGAUCUUGCUUGAUCUCUUUCUGAUCUUGCUUGAUCUCCUUCAGAGUGUUAAGAAUCAGAGGGAUCGCAGAGGAAGACUCCCCCUGAAUCAGAGCCUGCUGAGUUUCAGCUUCAGCAGCAGCUUGGGCUUCUGCAUCUGCUUUAGCCUUGGCUUCAGCUUCCUGAAUUCUCAGAAGUUCUGCUU
RNAcentral lists this long non-coding RNA (248 nucleotides) under Lathyrus oleraceus (garden pea). RNAcentral's name for it is "Pisum sativum (pea) long non-coding RNA (PSAT_LNC013135)". The record is from RNAcentral. Lineage: Eukaryota; Viridiplantae; Streptophyta; Magnoliopsida; Fabales; Fabaceae.